RNAcentral lists this ribosomal RNA (429 nucleotides) under bacterium. RNAcentral's name for it is "partial 16S ribosomal RNA". It matches the Rfam family "Bacterial small subunit ribosomal RNA", at positions 355 to 776 of the family's 1533-position model. The record is from RNAcentral.
UAGGGAAUCUUCCACAAUGGACGCAAGUCUGAUGGAGCAACGCCGCGUGAGUGAAGAAGGUUUUCGGAUCGUAAAGCUCUGUUGUUGGUGAAGAAGGAUAGAGGCAGUAACUGGUCUUUAUUUGACGGUAAUCAACCAGAAAGUCACGGCUAACUACGUGCCAGCAACCGCGGUAAUACGUAGGUGGCAAGCGUUGUCCGGAUUUAUUGGGCGUAAAGCGAGCGCAGGCGGAAGGAUAAGUCUGAUGUGAAAGCCCACGGCUCAACCGUGGAACUGCAUCGGAAACUGUCAUUCUUGAGUGCAGAAGAGGAGAGUGGAAUUCCAUGUGUAGCGGUGGAAUGCGUAGAUAUAUGGAAGAACACCAGUGGCGAAGGCGGCUCUCUGGUCUGCAACUGACGCUGAGGCUCGAAAGCAUGGGUAGCGAACAGG